Molecule: ribosomal RNA, 253 nt
Filed under: uncultured bacterium
Lineage: Bacteria
Description: partial 16S ribosomal RNA
Rfam family: Bacterial small subunit ribosomal RNA
Source: RNAcentral
UACGGAGGGUGCAAACGUUGCUCGGAAUCAUUGGGCGUAAAGCGCGCGUAGGCGGCCGCUUAAGUCGGAUGUGAAAGCCCCUGGCUCAACUGGGGAAGUGCACCCGAAACUGAGUGGCUUGAGUACUAAAGAGGGUCGCGGAAUUCCCGGUGUAGAGGUGAAAUUCGUAGAUAUCGGGAGGAACACCGGUGGCGAAGGCGGCGACCUGGGUAGAUACUGACGCUGAGGCGCGAAAGCGUGGGGAGCAAACAGG